Molecule: ribosomal RNA, 450 nt
Filed under: uncultured bacterium
Lineage: Bacteria
Description: partial 16S ribosomal RNA
Rfam family: Bacterial small subunit ribosomal RNA
Source: RNAcentral
CCUACGGGAGGCUGCAGUCGAGAAUCUUCGGCAAUGGGCGCAAGCCUGACCGAGCGACGCCGCGUGCGGGAUGAAGGUCUUCGGAUUGUAAACCGCUGUCGGAGGGGAUGAAAUGCAUGGGGGUACUCCCCUGUGUUUGACAGAGCCUCGGAGGAAGCACGGGCUAAGUUCGUGCCAGCAGCCGCGGUAAUACGAACUGUGCGAACGUUAUUGGGAAACGGGGGGGUUGGAGGGUGCGUAAGUGGGGUGUGAAAUCCCCCGGCUCAACCGGGGAACGGCGCUUGAAACUGGGGUGCUCGAGUGAGGUAGGGGUGGAUGGAACUUCCGGUGGAGCGGUGAAAUGUGUAGAUAUCGGAAGGAACGCCGGCGGCGAAAGCGGUACACUGGGCCUUGUCUGACGCUGAGGCACGAAAGCUAGGGGAGUGAACGGGAUUAGAUACCCGUGUAGUC